AGCUCUGGAAUCCAUCGUUCAUCGGCGAAUUCCGCUUUAAUUAAUCUUAGGCUGAUAAGAAAUCCCAGAGAUGUGGUCAUUAGUUUAGACUGCUUUGUCUGAGCCCCGGCCAGAGCGUAUUUACAGAACAGAGAAUCAUGUGUUCGUCGGCCAAAUGACUCAUCACGUUCCACCCUUUCCCUGUAGGCAUAUCAGAGGGGCACAAGGGAAUGUGAAUUCAAAUCCCGGUCUUGGGCCUUCCUUGUUGUAUAACCUUGAACGGAUUAUUUAACCUCUCUGGACUUCAGUUUCCAUAACUGUAAAGUGGGAUAAUGACGUCUACCUCAGAGCGUUGUUGCGAGGUCACGUGAGAAAUUGUUAGCAUAAUACCUAGUCCAUUGCAAGCGCCCAGUUAAGUGGUCGUAAUUAUAUUAUUUUCAACCGCUGGGACUAGUUGUAGGUACUAAGUUCUCCUGUGGUGAGAUUCGAAUAAAGACGUGCGCUGGUAGCUGGAAGCACGACCUCGAGCCUCCAGCUGAAACCUACGAGGAGGAUGUCCAUCGUAUAAGGCAACUAAAGCGACUUCGGUUGGAUUGUUUUGCACUCUCUGCCCCAAACAUGGCUAUUUGGACAGAGUCCAAAAUCAAGCCCUUAGGAGGCCAUCAGAUCAGUUGUAGCCAGAAAAACAAACAAACAAACGAACGAACGAACGAACACAAACAACACCAGAAAGCCAGAAACAAUGAAACUCCAAGGGAGUGUGGAAAGCAGGAUUGAAUUCUGGGUAGUGCACAACUCCAUGGCUCCUCCAAUGACCAGUGAAAAAUAACAUCAUGACCGUGAAGAUCAGACCCAUCACUUACAUACUUAAUCCUGAAGCCUGAUAAUUAAGUUUAAAAUGAAAUUGACUUUGAGAUCCAAGUGAUCAAGUUGGGUGAGUCUUUGUCGUUGGUGCAGAUCACCACAUCGUCAUUAGGUGUCUACAUCUUUUGGGGUGGCAUAAACCAAGAUGAGUGAGUGUGUCCCCUGGUUUCGGUAGAGAGGUCCGAUUUCCACUGGAUCUGG
Molecule: long non-coding RNA, 1044 nt
Filed under: Felis catus (domestic cat)
Lineage: Eukaryota; Metazoa; Chordata; Mammalia; Carnivora; Felidae
Description: lncRNA (ENSFCAG00000052318.1)
Source: RNAcentral